RNAcentral lists this long non-coding RNA (349 nucleotides) under Rosa chinensis. RNAcentral's name for it is "sRNA RchiOBHm_MTg0498801". Lineage: Eukaryota; Viridiplantae; Streptophyta; Magnoliopsida; Rosales; Rosaceae. The record is from RNAcentral.
GACGCCCAAAAAGUCCCAUGCUUUCCGUUGGUCCAGGUUUUGGUACAGACCCCCCUCCUGCGCCCGCGAGGGAUUGAAUUCCUGACCUCAACGCCCCUCGAGGCUCUCAUAAUAGAGAUAGAGGAAACCCAACGAGAGCUAAAGGGGGCCCAGGAAGAAUUGAAGUCCUGGGAGGGCGAGCGGAGGGCUUUCUUUGAGAAGGAAGCGCGUCUGUAUCAUCAGCGGCUGAGAAGCGCGGAGGUAUACCGCGAAUACCAAGCUCUGUUAACCAGGCGGGAUCUCUGGGAGGCAGAGUUAACGCGCUUAAAGGAACUGCUGGGUAACAGGGCGAGUGAGUGAAGGCCCCCGC